ACCCCAUUUCUAUCCAUGCAUUAAAGUCAUAUUGUCAUUUAUGAAGUUUAACUUGCAAGUUACUCCAAGGCCUAGAAAAAGAAUUGAAACAUAAGACCCUGUGGAGUUUCAUUCUCUUUCCCAAAGAUGAUUCGUGUCCAUCAACAACUUCUAGUGUCACUGAUCAUAAGGGUUUGUUGAUUCACCUGCUUACUCUUUGGGGGGUAAAUGAGUUACCUUUCUACAGCCCUCUGUCUCUUCUCUCUUGUGAACUUCCAAAGGAUUGGAGGUGCAACAAACACUUUUCUGGGCCCUGUGAGGUGAGUUUCCAUUUUGUCAUCACUCAUUCAAGUUUCAACAUGGACAUGAACCCGAAUAUAGGAAACCAGAACAUAGAUUGAUGGUUAUAGAGACAUCAGAAAACAGAAAACACAGUUCUUGUUCUUUCUGUUGUAUCCAGGAAGGAAGAUUUGCUCCCAAAAUCAUUUCUUAUCAGAAAGUAAAUAACCAACUAAAUGGAAAACUGGUCUCGGGUGGCAUCAUUCUAUAGUGGAAGAUUAGCAUCCCGGAAUUCCAGGAUCUGAACUACAACUCUGUGUGAUCUUAACAAAUCCUUUAAUCCUUCUGAUCUUAGUGUUCUCAUCUGUAAAAUUAUAGGAUUCAAUGAAAUGGUCGCUUUCUAAAGCCAAGACCCAUCCAGUCAUUUUUAGGUUUAAUUGGACUGAGCAAAGCUAAAAUACUGAUUUCUGAUCAGACUCAUUAUAAGAGAAAAACUCCUCCUUUAAAAAAAAUAGAUUAAGAAAAAUAAACUGUUAGCUCUGGAGACGUGCUGUCACUUUGCUUUUUAUACGUAGUCCAUGGUGGACUUUAGAAUCAGAAUGGUGAGUAUAAUCUUAACCCUGAAUUUAAACAUGGAUUUAAAGCACCUAGCACAUGGUCAGAUCCAAGCAAAUGUUAUUACCCUCUAUACAACCUUCCCAGGGUUUUUGGUGUCCUCCUGAAACUGAAAAACGGAAAACUGAUCAAAUAUCUGCUUCCAGAAACACAUCUCACCCAUGCAAUGCCAACAAUGGCAAAAGAAAUCCCAAUUUUUAUGCAGAUGUUGCAGACACUCAUUGCUUCUGUGCCUACUGGCACAGAAACUGAGAUCUGAUACUUAGGGCUUCAUUUUUCCUUUGUACAAGAUGAACAUUGGGUCUUUUCCUUAGACAUAGCUAAAUUGAUUUGUCUCCAGAUGACACACAUGAUAAAAAGAAAAACAAUUUAAGUGAGGGGAGUUUCAUUUUAUCUUAGGGGUAGUCUUAAAGCACUUCUUUCUGCUCAAAACUUCAUUUCCCUAAUAGUAGGAGAGUAAUGUGGAAUGUGAAAAGAUGGCUCAAAAUUAAAAACUGAGCCCUUUUUGCCCCACCUUAAGAAAGAACACAGAGAGAAUAAAUACGAUAGGGGUUUGGGGGUUUUUGGAGGUUUUUUUAAGAGGUAGAUUGAGGAUUCUUUUUUUUCUUCUUUUUCUUUUACUUUUAUUGAAGUAUAGUUAAUCUACAAAUGUGUUAGUUUCAAGUGUACAGCAACAGGGUUUUCUGAGAGCUACCGCAUUGCAGUAAUAAGAUAGUUCAAUAUCUGAAUCUUUACACUAAAAAUUUCAGUGCAAUCUGUUGACUAGGGUAACAAAUCGCAAAGCUCUAGUGCCAGAUUCUAAAAAGCCUUCCAUUCCCAGACUUAGAUUCAGGGCAAAGACUCAUUAUGCUAAAGAAAUCAGUAUCUAAAUAAAUAAUAUCAUUUGUUUUAUUUAUUUUUUACAGCUGCGCCUAUGGCGUAUGGAAAUUCCUGGGCUAGAGGUCGGAUUGAAGCUGCAGCUGCCACUCUAUGCCAUGGCCCCAGCUAUAGCAACACUGGAUCUGAGCCAUAUCUGAAACCUACACUGCAGCUUUCAGCAACGUCCGAUCCUUAACCCACUGAGGGAGGCCAGGGACUGAACCCACAUCCUCAAAGACACUAUGUCAGGUUCUUAACCCACUAAGCCACAACAGGAACUCCAAACAAUACAAUUUUAAUAAGACAAGAGGCCAAAAGAAAAGAAAGCAGCCUCCUGGUACACUGAACACAUAGCCCCAGACCAGACGAGAUCAUUUACAAGAGUGGUAAAAGUCCAUGUUCUGCCCACAAGUCUGAUAUGGUGCCCAAGCUCAGCUGAUGGAAGAUGUCAGUCAACCACAGGCUCCUUUGCUUGGCACUGACCAGAAUUUGAGAAGUUGUGGGUCAUCUUCUUUGCACCCUAGGUCUACUUUGUCAGCUCCACUGAGUUGCAAGAGGCUGCAUGCUAGGCACUGAAGGACAACAAUAGAUCUGGCUCUGUUCCACCCUCCAUGAAGGUCACAUGAGCACAAACCAUUUGCUUGGGGAAAGCCCAGAUGCCAAUGGCCCAAAGAAGAUAAUGCAGUAGCUCACCAAGGCAGCAUCUCCUGUGUUUUUCAAUAUAAAUAAUCUAUGUUUAUUACAGAAAAUAGGCUAAUGCUUUAAAAAGCAAAGGCACUCAUAUCCUUACCACCCAGAGAUGGGUGUUUACAUUUUUAAAUGUGCUCUUGUAGAAUCCAUUCCCAAAUAAGUAUGUAUGUGUUCAUGCAUUUCACAAAAAUAGAAUUAUAGCAUAUAGUUAUAUAUACUGCGCAACACUUAUUUUUUAAUACCUAACAUUCUAUACUUUUAAAAACAUCAAAUCCCCUACUUUGGCACAUUCAGAGUGUUUCCAACUUUGUUAAAAUUUGUAGACACACACAUUUGCAUGGCAUUUAACUCUGGAAGAAUAUCUAUUUUAAAAAACACCUGUGAUAAACACCUUUGAACAUGUAUGUUUUCAAUGAUCAUCCUUUCUCUGAUUUUUUUUUCUUUAAAAUAUUCCAAGAGGUAGAAUUACAAAUGCACGUUUUUAAAGCCACUGAGACUUAUCCUCCAACUGCAAUGCAUUUUUCUUCCAGGGGAGCCCCUCUCUUAGUGGGGUGGCAUGCAGGAUGCCCAGAAUUGAAUGUUAAGGGGAAUGCAAAUCCCAACUGCCAAGAAGCCGAUGGGAGAUAAAUCGGAACACUUUCAAAAGCAUUAAGGUGAUUAUUGCUUAGUACCCAAAAAUCUUUCAGCAAUUUCCUAUAAAAUAUUCCUUCAUGUCAGACCCAUAAUCACCUUUUCAAAAUUGUGCCGUGGAGAGUCGUCGAUGUGUGUUCCGUGCACAGGGCAUAAAUCUCUCAGAUCCUCACUGCAACCUGCAGAGGCUCGCCUCCCACAGGAGCAGGGCUACUCCAGGGCCAGCCAGGGCAGCUGAAAAACAUAUGUUCUGGUCUUCCACUCUCACCUCGUCUCCCACACUCUCCCCCAGCUUCCUUCUACCUUUGGGCUUGCACAUUUCUCCUUGACAACUGCUUUCAGGAAAAAAUAUUUCUAAGCUGCUUGCCUAUGUAAAUCUGUCUUUCAAAACAGUACCCACCAUCAAACCUAAACCCACAAAAUGCUGUGCUCAUUGGCGGCCAAAGGAGAAUGCCAGGAUGACCAAUGUAGUGGGGAUUUGGCGAGUGGCAACACAGGGCCCAGAGCCUUUCUGACCUGAGUCAUUGGCCCAGAGGAGUGAAAUGCAGUCGCUUUGCCCUUCCUGGUCACACACACAAAUGGGGACCAUGUAGCAGGUGGAUCAGGCAAGUGUAAUCCCCCAAGAAUUGGCAUAAAAUGUGACAUGAGAGAGGAAUCUUUCUCAGGUUCUAGGGUGUUCACUUGCCACUUUUUACCUCACUAGGAAAAAAGUCAUCCCUCUAAGUACAAAUAGCUUUGUGGCCCCACACCAAGGAGGCUAGCUCGUCCCAAAGCUGCCAAGGGUCUACAUUCAUGCCUCCUAGCAUCCUCUACAUGAAGCCAGGCUUGGCUGCCCUCGCUGAUGUUACCCAACCCUAGCUUGUGCACAUAUGACCUGUGCUGACAUCACAGUCCAUGAAAGAGCUGUGUUGUUAUUUCCACAGUGGUCUUGCAGCCAAUGCCAAGUGACCCUCAAGCACCCAAAAUGCAUCCUGAGACCUGGCAUAAGAGGGCUAAUUAAAGUCUAUGUCUGGAAUUCCCACUGUGGCUCACCAAGUUAAAGGACCCAACAUUGUCUCUGUGAGGAUGCAGGUUCCAUCCCUGACCUCACUCAGUGGGAUCCUACACUGCAAAGUGCAGUGUAGGUUGUAGAUGCAGCUCAGAUGUGGUAUUACCAUGGCUGUGGCAUGGGUCGCAGCUGCAGCUCCAACUCAACCCCUAUCCCAGGAACUUUCAUGUGCCGCAGGUGCAGCCUUAAAAAGAAAUAAAUUAAUUAAAAAACUAAAGGCCAUGUCUGUGUGAGACCUGGAGUAUUGAGGCAAGAUUCCUAGUGCUGGUACAAUGGCCACUGCCUAUAGUCAUUCUGAGUUCACUGCCAUCCUUAGAUGUUAGAGUUCAGGGGCAGUUGCUAGGGGGAGGGGAAAACUGAUAAGGACUUGGAAAGGUCUGUAAGUGUGCAUGGCAGCUAUGCAAAGCUAGCCCUUUCCUGGAAGUCAGGGAGGUAGGCAGGUCUAGGGGCUCUGGAGGCUAAGAAAAUAGACCCCUGGUGAAUGGGUAUCUUUCUCCAACCAGGCUCUCAGGAAGAGGUGAAUGCUUUUAUCUCUGCUUAGCAGCUCCAGAAUGAUGACAAGUUUAUCAUCUGGUUCCCCACACUCAGAACAGUCUCAGUCCCUAAUCACCAUCUCCUGAGAGCCUGCAACCUACUGCUGGGUAGACAGCAGUGAUAAUAAUGCCACCAAUAACAGCAUCUGUGGUGUGUGGAGGACUACAUGUCACCAUACACUUCUUGGUAAAUAAAAUUGUACCCAGUUUUACUUAAUCUUAACAUCUUUGCAAAUCUGGUAUUAUUAUUCCUCCUUUUAUAAACAAUUACCCUGAGGCUCAGGGAGGCUACACUAAUUGCCCAGGUCAAAGAGCUGGUAAAUGGCAGAGUGAGGUUUGAGAUCUUAUCUGUCUGACUUUGAAAUACCUGGGUUUUAUUGUUGUUGUUGUUGUCGUUGUUGUUGUUGUUGUUUUGGGUGCAACCGCAGUAUGUAGAAAUUCCCAGGCCCGGAUCAAAACUGGGCCACGGUAGUGACAAUACCCAGUCCUUAACCACUAGGCCAUCAGGAAACCACCUUCAAAUAUGUGCUCUUAACCUCUGUACCAGGCACCCAUCUGCUCACUCAGAACCAGGCAUGUACUAAGAAGAAGGCAAACAUGUUCACAAGUUAUUCCCAUUGGCAGCUCACCCAGAUCCAAUCUCCAGAAGGUUACUGGACCACAACAUUUGAAUGCUGCCCCCAAACCCACACCACCACCCAAAAUGGCCCCAAACAAAAUCAUCCUCUUUCAUCCAAACGUUUCUUCAGUUCUGACAAUUAUCCAUAUCAACCAGUGAAACUACCAAGUCAUAUUUAUCUGACUCCUCUUCCUUAUCUCCAUGUAAUCAAAUAAGUCUUGUCUUUUCUUCUUCAAAAUGGUUCUUCAAGCCAGAUGAUCAUUAUUUUCUCAUUCCAACUGCCUGGGACUCUGUGCUCCUUGCCUCUAGCCUCUAGCCCCUCUCAUCUAUUCUGACUAGAUUUCCUUCAGCGGCACCUCUGCAUUUCUUCCCCUACACCUACAGUCUCAAGGCUAAAUUCUUUAGAGCAUACAUCAAGGUCCUCUGUCACUAGCCCCAUCCUACCUUCCAAUACUCUCAGAUUGAAAUGAGAUCACCUCCUUCAAUCCCCUUACCAACAUAACCCACCUGUCAGUCUGUACCAGUCCAACCCAAACCACCAGACAAGCACCAUUCUGGUGACCACACAAAUUUAAAAUUACUGCAUUUCCCAGAGAACCAGUGUAUACGACCCGGUCAAUAUAUCCAUUUC
This 5882-nucleotide long non-coding RNA is filed under the name Sus scrofa (pig). Its description in RNAcentral is "lncRNA (ENSSSCG00000059597.1)". The record is from RNAcentral. Lineage: Eukaryota; Metazoa; Chordata; Mammalia; Artiodactyla; Suidae.